Molecule: long non-coding RNA, 217 nt
Filed under: Panax ginseng (ginseng)
Lineage: Eukaryota; Viridiplantae; Streptophyta; Magnoliopsida; Apiales; Araliaceae
Description: long non-coding RNA (PGIN_LNC007723)
Source: RNAcentral
UUAAUUUAAGGAAUUAAUGGUACUAAUGGGACAUGUUUUUUAAAAUGCUUGAUAACCGCAAGCAUGUACUCUUCGUUUUUGUAUAUUACCCUUUAUACGCUAAAACCCUCUUUUCUCUCUCCUUCUGUGUUUCAACAAUCUCCAUCGUUCUCGUCAGCAUCGUUCUCGUCACCAUCGUUUCAGUAUUCUCCAUUGUUUGUUAUCGAAGUUCAUAGCC